RNAcentral lists this ribosomal RNA (426 nucleotides) under uncultured prokaryote. Its description in RNAcentral is "bacterial SSU rRNA". It matches the Rfam family "Bacterial small subunit ribosomal RNA", at positions 355 to 796 of the family's 1533-position model. The record is from RNAcentral.
UGGGGAAUUUUCCGCAAUGGGCGCAAGCCUGACGGAGCAAUACCGCGUGAGGGAGGAAGGCUUUUGGGUUGUAAACCUCUUUUCUCAAGGAAGAAGUCCUGACGGUACUUGAGGAAUCAGCAUCGGCUAACUCCGUGCCAGCAGCCGCGGUAAUACGGAGGGGGCUAGCGUUGUUCGGAAUCACUGGGCGUAAAGCGCGCGUAGGCGGAUCAGUCAGUCAGGGGUGAAAUCCCGAGGCUCAACCUCGGAACUGCCCUUGAUACUGCUGAUCUUGAGGUCGAGAGAGGUGAGUGGAAUUCCUAGUGUAGAGGUGAAAUUCGUAGAUAUUAGGAAGAACACCAGUGGCGAAGGCGGCUCACUGGCUCGAAUCUGACGCUGAGGUGCGAAAGCGUGGGGAGCAAACAGGAUUAGAUACCCCUGUAGUCC